GAUGAACGCUGGCGGCGUGCCUAAUACAUGCAAGUCGAGCGAACAGACGAGGAGCUUGCUCCUCUGACGUUAGCGGCGGACGGGUGAGUAACACGUGGAUAACCUACCUAUAAGACUGGGAUAACUUCGGGAAACCGGAGCUAAUACCGGAUAAUAUAUUGAACCGCAUGGUUCAAUAGUGUAAGACGGUUUUGCUGUCACUUAUAGAUGGAUCCGCGCCGCAUUAGCUAGUUGGUAAGGUAACGGCUUACCAAGGCAACGAUGCGUAGCCGACCUGAGAGGGUGGUCGGCCACACUGGAACUGAGACACGGUCCAGACUCCUACGGGAGGCAGCAGUAGGGAAUCUUCCGCAAUGGGCGAAAGCCUGACGGAGCAACGCCGCGUGAGUGAUGAAGGUCUUCGGAUCGUAAAACUCUGUUAUUAGGGAAGAACAAAUGUGUAAGUAACUAUGCACGUCUUGACGGUACCUAAUCAGAAAGCCACGGCUAACUACGUG
This 497-nucleotide ribosomal RNA is filed under the name uncultured bacterium. RNAcentral describes it as "partial 16S ribosomal RNA". It matches the Rfam family "Bacterial small subunit ribosomal RNA", at positions 28 to 507 of the family's 1533-position model. The record is from RNAcentral.